Molecule: small RNA, 132 nt
Filed under: Enterobacter mori
Lineage: Bacteria; Pseudomonadati; Pseudomonadota; Gammaproteobacteria; Enterobacterales; Enterobacteriaceae
Description: Enterobacteria sRNA STnc130
Rfam family: Enterobacteria sRNA STnc130
Source: RNAcentral
AGAACGAAUUUCUUCGUUAUCAGCUUUUUAUGCUGACUUUCAUUCGGAGGAGUAUUACUACUUUAGAGGGAGAGAUUAUUGAGUCGUAUCAAUUAGCAGGCAUAAAAAAAGCGCCCUGAGGCGCUUUCUUGU